Molecule: RNA transcript, 4257 nt
Organism: Gavialis gangeticus (Gharial)
Lineage: Eukaryota; Metazoa; Chordata; Crocodylia; Gavialidae
Gene: SLC4A9
Gene name: solute carrier family 4 member 9
Exons: 23
Source: RefSeq, a predicted model, not a curated record
UCAAGGACUCUGCUGCAGAGGAAAGUGGCAUUCUGACACACAUGGGGGAGCAGGUACCUGAACACCAGCUGUCUGAUGCAAUGAAAAUGGAGGCAAGUGGGGGCCUCCUUCCCUGUGUGGGGCCAGACACUGGUCUGGCCAGCAGCGAAGAGACCGGUCCAAAUGAGCCCCACAGCAGAAACUCUGUGGUAAUUUGCCAAGCAGUUGGCCGAAGUAUCUUCACUUCCAGAGUCUCCACAGCAGCUGAGAGAGUUGGCUUCAUGCUGCAACAAGAGGAGGAGAAUGAUGCAAGCUGCCCGCUGUUAUUUAUACAGCUCAACGAGCUGCUCAACACAUCAGAGGGCCUGGAGUGGAAGCAGACUGCCAGAUGGAUUAAGUUUGAGGAGAAAGUGGAAGAUGGGGGCGAGAAGUGGAGCAAACCUCAUGUCACAACCCUUUCCUUACACAGUCUGUUUGAACUAAGAACAUGCAUAAAGAAAGGGACUGUCCUCCUGGAUUUAGAUGCUCACAGCUUUAAGCAAAUAGUUGAGCAGGUGAUUGCUGUUCAGAUUGAGGAGCACACCCUGAGACCAGAGCUGAGGAAGAAGCUUACACGUGUGCUGCUCCGCAGACCCCAGCACCACACCACAAAGUCUGAGCUGAGGACAGUGGCUGAACUCACUGUUGCCUCCUGCAGAGGAAGAGGUAGUAACUUGACAAAUCCAGGAGCUGAUAUCUCAGAAACACCCCUUAAAGAACAGCUAAAAAAUCCAUUCAAGAAGAAGAUCCCAGCUGGGGCUGAAGUGUCGAACAUUCUUGCUGGAGAAGUCAACUUUCUAGAUAAGCCAUUUAUUGCCUUCAUCCGACUGAAGGAGGCAGUGGGACUUGGGGCCUUGACUGAGGUAGCUUUCCCAAGCAGGUUCCUUUUCAUCCUCCUGGGCCCCAGAGCCAAAGUGAAAGCUUACCAUGAGAUUGGAAGGGCCAUGGCCACAUUACUCACGGAUGAGCUCUUCCAGAGAGUUGCUCAUUGGGCUCAGGACAGAGAAGACCUCAUUGCAGGAAUUGAUGAGUUUCUGGAUGAGCUGACAGUGUUGCCUCCAGGCAAAUGGGACCCAACCAUCCGAAUCCCUCCACCAAAAUGCCUGCCCUCUCCACAUAAAAGGAUAUCUAUGCACUUACGGGAAUGGAAAUCUCACUGCAAUGGGAACCUAUGUGCCACUGAGGACAGACAUGCCCGUGGGCACCAGCAUGUCAGUGAAGAGCUGAAGAGAACAGGGAGGUUAUUUGGAGGACUGGUAAAGGACAUCCGAAGAAAGGCCCCUUGGUACUGGAGUGAUUUCUAUGAUGCACUGAACAUCCAGUGCUUUUCAGCUAUUCUCUAUAUCUACCUGGCGACUGUUACCAAUGCAAUUACUUUUGGUGGCAUGCUGGGAGAUGCUACAGAUAACAUGCAGGGGGUGCUGGAGAGUUUCCUGGGUACUGCCAUUGCUGGAGCUACCUUUUGCCUCUUUGCUGGCCAGCCCUUGACCAUCCUGAGUAGCACUGGUCCUGUCCUAGUAUUUGAAAGACUCCUCUUCUCUUUUAGCAAAGACUACAGUCUGAACUAUUUGGAAUUUCGCCUCUGGAUUGGCCUCUGGGUGGCAUUUUUUGGCCUGAUUCUGGUAGCUACUGAAGCAAGUUACCUGGUGCAGUAUUUUACCCGCUUCACUGAGGAAGGCUUCUGUGCCCUCAUCAGCCUCAUAUUCAUCUAUGAUUCUGUGAAGAAAAUGCUGAGCCUGGCUGAUUACUUCCCUAUCAACUGGAAUUUCAGGAUCAAUGACAUCACCCACUACAACUGCAUCUGCAAUUUAUCUGGCACAGGCAACUCCUCCAUAUUGAAUAAGACACUGCUUCCAGACCCUGACAGCCUUGGGGAGUACUGGGCUCUGGAGCCUGCAAACAGGUCCCAGCUGACCAAGAAGGAAUGUUUGCAACUAGGGGGCCACCUGGUGGGCACCAGUUGUAACUAUGUGCCUGACAUCACAUUUAUGUCCUUUGUCUUGUUCCUGGGGACGUUCCUCUGCUCCAUGACCCUCAAGCACUUUAAAUUGAGCCGCUAUUUCCCCACAGCUCUGAGGAAGCUGGUGAGUGACUUCUCCAUCAUCCUGGCCAUUCUCAUCUUCUGUGGAAUUGAUGCUUGUCUUGGAUUAGAGACUCCCAAGCUCAUUGUCCCCAUUGAGUUCAAGCCCACCAACCCACAACGAGGCUGGGUUGUUUAUCCUUUUGGAGUGAACCCCUGGUGGAUGUGCCUGGUGUCAGCAGUUCCUGCCAUUCUAGUAAUCAUCCUCAUCUUCAUGGACCAGCAAAUCACAGCUGUCAUCCUCAACCGCAAAGAGUACAAGCUGCAGAAAGGGGCAGGCUUUCAUCUAGAUUUGUUCUGUGUUUCCCUGCUGAUGAUCCUCACAUCUAUGAUGGGCCUUCCCUGGUAUGUGUCUGCCACUGUCAUCUCCCUGGCUCACAUGGACAGCCUGAAGAAGGAGAGCAUAACUUCUGCUCCAGGAGAACAGCCUAAGUUCCUUGGAAUCAGAGAGCAGAGGCUGACUGGUUUGGUGGUCUUUAUCCUCACAGGAACAUCUGUUUUUUUGGCACCUAUUCUCAAGUAUAUUCCUAUGCCUGUGUUGUAUGGUGUCUUUCUGUACAUGGGUGUGGCUGCUCUUAGCAGUAUCCAGUUCAUGGACAGAAUGCAGCUCCUUCUUAUGCCAGCUAAGCACCAGCCUGACUUAAUUUACCUUCGUCAUGUGCCCCUGCGCCGAGUCCACCUCUUUACCUUCAUCCAGAUGCUCUGUCUGGCCGUGCUCUGGGUCCUCAAGUCAACUGUGGCUGCCAUUAUUUUUCCAGUGAUGCUGCUGGCUCUAGUGGGGAUACGGAAGGCAAUGGAGUACAUCUUCUCCCUGCAUGACCUCAGCUGGCUGGAUGACAUCAUGCCUGAAACAGACAGGAAGGAGGAAGACGGAAAAUUGCCAAGAAGUCCAGAGGCAGAGGAGAGUGACAGUGAGGAGUCUGAAUUAAUGUACCUCGAAAAAGGACCAGAAAUCAAUAUCUCUGUGAAUUAGAAGAAGUGAGGCUCACCGGUGGGACACAGUGAAAGGGAAUAUUUUCUGAUGGUUUUGCAUAUGCAGGAAGAAGGCAGCUUGCAUUCUAGGAGAAGGUCUCCAGAGCUCUACUGACAUCCCAGGUAUUGAGCCCAGCUGGUGCACAGGUGGUUUAUAGGAAACGUGCAACACAUGGAAUGAAUGUACCAGGAUAUUCAAUUUUAUGAACAAAACAGACAGGUAGUCUGUCUUUUGCACUCACUCUUUUAUAUCUCAUGAUGCUGGAGAAGACAGCAGCAUUUCCAAAUAUUUCUCUUCAUUGUCUCUAACUGGAUACCAUUAGCUAAACCCUGUUUGCCACUGGGUGGCCCAGAGAAUCUAACAAUGUAUGAAAUAGGUGUCCUGUCUAUUAAACUGAUACUCCUCUGUCAUCUCAAUCCCUUGGUUGUAAAUUCUCUAGCCUCAUUCAAUUAAAAUGAAACCAUGCUUUCUAAACUGAUUCACUCAUUCCCAUCGUAUUGUGCAUGCAGGGGAAUAAGUGUUAGUGCCAGGAACAAUCUUCUCAGUGCAAGUCAUGCCAAACAUUGUAAGUCUCUUACUGAUUCAGAAAUAGUCUUGGGCACAAUAUGCUGUCUUGGAGCAUCUACAGUGCUAGAGGGUCCAGUUUCUCAAAGAAAAUAAAGGAGGGAGGUUGAACUCAUGCUCAUCUACAACUCAUGAAAAUCUUUCUAUCCAGUGUUUACAGCUUCAGACAGCACUAAGGCAUAUCUCAAGGGAAAGCCUUUGGAUCCUACCUUUCAGGAAAGAAAUCUUAUAACAUCUGUAACUCAGCACAGACAUAUUCCAUGGUCAAUAGAAGUGGCCAAAGUUAUAGAAUUUUACACCCUGGACUGUGGCUUCUUCCUCUCUGAUAGGGAUGGUGUGCUCAUGAACACGAUAGGUUGCAGUAAAGAUGCUGGGAUGUGAUGGAAUAUGGCAUGCUGGGAGCAAUAAUUUACAUGACUGUGUUAAAAACAAAAAAUUUGCAGCUUGCUCUGUUUUAUGCUGACCAAAGGCUAAGGAUAUUUUUACAGCAGGGGUGACCAACCUGUGGCAUGGGCAGCCUCUGCGUGAGGCAAAUGAUGGAUCAAGGAGGGGACAGCCUGCAAGCAGAUAGGGUAGGAAACAGAAAGAAGAGCAGCAGAUCCAGCAGAGGAAGGGGAUUGGA